GUUAACACAUCUACACAUCACUAAUAGGGUUAACACAUCUACACAUCACUAAUAGGGUUAACACAUCUACACAUCACUAAUAGGGUUAACACAUCUACACAUCACUAAUAGGGUUAACACAUCUACACAUCACUAAUAGGGUUAACACAUCUACACAUCACUAAUAGGGUUAACACAUCUACACAUCACUAAUAGGGUUAACACAUCUACACAUCACUAAUAGGGUUAACACAUCUACACAUCACUAAUAGGGUUAACACAUCUACACAUCACUAAUAGGGUUAACACAUCUACACAUCACUAAUAGGUUUAACACAUCUACACAUCACUAAUAGGGUUAACACAUCUACACAUCACUAAUAGGGUUAACACAUCUACACAUCACUAAUAGGGUUAACACAUCUACACAUCACUAAUAGGGUUAACACAUCUACACAUCACUAAUAGGGUUAACACAUCUACACAUCACUAAUAGGGUUAACACAUCUACACAUCACUAAUAGGGUUAACACAUCUACACAUCACUAAUAGGGUUAACACAUCUACACAUCACUAACAGGGUUAACACAUCUACACAUCACUAAUAGGGUUAACACAUCUACACAUCACUAAUAGGGUUAACACAUCUACACAUCACUAACACUGUAGGUUUCCUUCUUUAACAAGUCAAUCAAUACAUUGA
Long non-coding RNA from Oncorhynchus keta (chum salmon), 682 nucleotides. RefSeq lists it as uncharacterized. The record is from RefSeq and is a predicted model, not a curated record. The transcript is spliced from 4 exons. Lineage: Eukaryota; Metazoa; Chordata; Actinopteri; Salmoniformes; Salmonidae.